CGUUCUGAAAGCAGUGCGUUAACUUCAUCACUUGACAAAUCUCCGAUCAGCUGGUCUUGGCCCUCUGCAGAUGCUUGACGUGAUGGCAACACAAAGUUUGACCGCAGGAAAGGCACCAAGUCCAGAAGCUUUGUUACAGUACAUGAGGAUGCUGCUGAAACUGAUAAAUUAACAAUGACGAAACCCCUGGACUCGCCCCGCCUUGUAAUUUAUGUACAUAACAACGAAGUUCAGCAGAUUGUGGGGACACAAUUAGAGUGGUCACUAACCCCAAGACUGCGGUACAUUGCGUCAUUCUUUUACUUGGUGUUUAUUAUACGUUUGAUUUGGAUAAUCCAAAGAUUUUCUCCCAGGUAUUAGGCUUUCUCCAACAGUUCAAAUACACUGGUCAAGCAGGUUAAGUAAAUUCUGCACAAAGUUUCAAGCCUUGGCAAGUACUUAAAUAAGUCAAACAUCAUCUUGUCACAAUUCGGUCGAAAUUCGUUUUAAAUAGUUUCCUGGAAAAUUAAACAUUAGGUUAUGGAUACAAUUUUCACAGUUGUUUAUCAGUAGUUUAAAAAAAUAAUAUGUUCACAUACUGUCGCGAUAAGAUAUCCCUCCCCCCCAAAAAAAAAAAAAAUUAACUAAAACUAAUAUGUUAGGCGUUCUGGCAAAUGAGACAAAACUGUGCAGAGGUCAAAUUUUAGGUUUCAGGCUAUUAUGGAAGAGAACAAAAUUAUCCUUACAAUGCUGCUUAUUGAACUUGAAUCCGACAUUUCAUUGACAAGAUGUGGCUUUUUGAAGUUCGAAAAUUCGACAUGUCCAAACAAAAAAAGGAAAAUGCUGAAAAGGGGGGGUUUAAAGUUCGGGACUACUUUGUAGUCCUUAGUGCAUACUGUUUUAAAAUCAUUGCAAUUAAUACACUCCACAACUUUAAUGAUGUUUGAUAUAAAAAUUUAUGUAGUAGAUAUAUCAAAGAUUACACAAAUUCAGUGGAUCUGAAGAAAGUUAACAAAUCACACAGUUUCGUCUCAUUUUGCCAGGACGCCUCACAAGUUCGGGAAAGUUUUGAAAUUUGGGCUUUAAUUUGGAGCAAAACUUGGCGAAAAUAAGAUACAAAUCUCUCAAGAAAAACAUUUAUGGUGAUUAUUAUAAGUUAACAAAUAUAAAUGGUUCUUUCCAGCAAGUUGAGGAACAAAGAUUUUUGUCAGUAGGGCAGCAUUUUAGUUGUUAUUAGAAGGAUAUUAUAAGAAGAAAAAAAGAAAAAAAAAAAAAAAAGAUUUUUGAGUGAAAAAUUUGUGUAUAGUGCUAUUUAUUAUUUGUCGAUUUUAGCACUGGUUACUCAAAGAUGUUUGUCAGUAUUAAGGCAGAGAUUUUGUCAUCGUUGGACCUACACGGUCUACUAUUAGUUACUACCAACAAGUUUACUUAACGUUGCAAAUCACAAUCGAGGAACAAAAUGUAAGAUUUUAAAAGUGGCAAGGAUAGGGAUUUGUUCUUGAUAAUUCAAUAACGUAGCAGUUUGACCCUCCUUGUGGAUUGGUAAGUGAUGGCGCGAUACCUUUUUGUAUCGACCAGGAUUCGAGCCCACAAACUAAUUAACCUUGCCACUUUACUCUGAUUCCAGUGCAAAAAAACAUUCGUUAAUAAAAACAUACCUCUGAAGUAAUAUCUAAGUCUAAAAUCUAAUUUUUUUUGUUAGCUUAA
Molecule: long non-coding RNA, 1686 nt
Organism: Asterias rubens (European starfish)
Lineage: Eukaryota; Metazoa; Echinodermata; Asteroidea; Forcipulatida; Asteriidae
Exons: 3
Source: RefSeq, a predicted model, not a curated record